Molecule: unclassified non-coding RNA, 378 nt
Filed under: plant metagenome
Description: partial contains 5.8S ribosomal RNA, internal transcribed spacer 2, and large subunit ribosomal RNA
Rfam family: 5.8S ribosomal RNA (bases 1-105)
Source: RNAcentral
GAAAUGCGAUAAGUAAUGUGAAUUGCAGAAUUCAGUGAAUCAUCGAAUCUUUGAACGCACCUUGCGCUCCUUGGUAUUCCUUGGAGCAUGCCUGUUUGAGUAUCAUGAAAUCUUCAAAGUAAAUCUUUUGUUAACUCAAUUGGUUUCUACUUUGGUAUUGGAGGUCUUUGCAGCUUCACACCUGCUCCUCUUUGUUCAUUAGCUGGAUCUCAGUGUUAUGCUUGGUUCCACUCGGCGUGAUAAGUUAUCUAUCGCUGAGGACACUGUAAAAGGUGGCCAAGGUAAAUGCAGCUGAACCGCUUCUAAUAGUCCAUUGACUUGGACAAUACUUUUAUUAUCUGAUCUCAAAUCAGGUAGGACUACCCGCUGAACUUAAGC